This 87-nucleotide transfer RNA is filed under the name Oscillospiraceae bacterium. RNAcentral describes it as "tRNA-Ser". It matches the Rfam family "tRNA". From Rfam's summary of the family: Transfer RNA (tRNA) molecules are approximately 80 nucleotides in length. Lineage: Bacteria; Bacillati; Bacillota; Clostridia; Eubacteriales; Oscillospiraceae. The record is from RNAcentral.
GGAGAGGUGUCCGAGCGGUUUAAGGAGCUGGUCUUGAAAACCAGUGAUGCGAGAGCACCGUGAGUUCGAAUCUCACCCUCUCCGCCA